CGUUAGGUACAUAGAUUCACGUGCAAUCGCGACUAUCUUGUCGGCGAGCAUAAGCAUCGCGCGCAUUUUCCCGGUAAUUGCGUUGUAGCUACGAGGAUGCAUACAUCAGGAACUUGUAAGUGUCCGGUAUUAAGAGAAAUGGUGUAAUUGUCAGGAAUCCGAGGUCAAACGGACUAUAGGGCGACACGGUCUGUGGGUAUCUUUGAAUACACACCGGAUGCAGAACAUUUACGAUAACACUAGCUAUUUGCAGACUAAAGUGACUAACCAGGGGAAUCGCUUUGGUAAACGAAAGGUUCAAUUAUCUCUGAAUACGCGGAUAAAGGAAAAGAGUACACUCUGUGACAAAAGGACAGGACAAUUGAUAUUUUCGCAAUGCUUUUCGAGAUUAAUGAAUAGAUGAGAGUUUCCGUCGCGUUUGUAUUGUGUAAUUUUCUGGAAAAGUGUACGCGAAAUGUCAUUAGUAAUUACGGAGCAGUUGAGUUGACUUUUUGAAAUUUCUUUAUAGAAAUUUGAAAGGUGCAUCUGAUGAGACUUUAAUUGAUUUGCAAUUCAGUUUGUGUAUUGUAUCACUUUCAUGAAUGAUUUCUCUGAGAAACAUCUGUUACCUGUUCAAUAAUUGCAAAAUGAAGAAAUCAUGAGUGGAUCAUUUUAGUGUGAAGAAAAUCACGGGGGAAAACAGGAAAAGUAUCUACUUACUUGCAAACUGACAAGUUAAUAGUAUAUUUAAGUUAUAAGUAUAUACUUCUGAAUGAAAAAUAAAUGUUCACCUUAAUACUUAGAAAUACUUUCUCUCUAGCCAAUGACAUCAAGGAAAUGUUCAGGUAAUAAUUCAUACAGUUCUUUCAAUGGUUUUUGUUCAUAUUCCCUUGUUAACUUUCCCACAACACAUUCUACCAUCAAUCAUUCAAUCAUACUACGGAUUAUGAAAUUCAUAACAAAGUUAGUACUAUAGUUAUAGCCUGUAAAGAUCACAUUCAUUUCUUUUUGCAAUGUAUAUUCUUGUUCAGCAAGAAACUCUUUCACAUCUUAUGCAACAAACUUUGUGACACAU
Nomia melanderi (Alkali bee) is the source of this 1054-nucleotide long non-coding RNA. RefSeq lists it as uncharacterized. NCBI's taxonomy places the organism in Eukaryota, Metazoa, Arthropoda, Insecta, Hymenoptera, Halictidae. The record is from RefSeq and is a predicted model, not a curated record.